GUAAUACAAGAAACCUAUAGCCAUUGUAAGAAAUUGUGUCUUCUCUCUCUAUCUGGAAUUGCGCGUUUUUCAGGUUUUUCCGUCAUGUCACCUAGACGUAGGAAAUGCUUCCCUAGCAGGGGGAGCCAUGUCUAAAGAAGUGUUCGUCAGGCUAGAUUGAUUAUCAAGAUGGCGGAUCGGAAUUUUGGGACAGCUUUUCAGUAAUGACCUAUCUAAUUCUGAAAGGCGUCGUCUUCCGGUUUAAAGCUUACAAGCAGACUAUCAGUACGAUGUUGCUGUUCAUCGCGCGAGAGACAUGAUGAAGGAUUUAGCCGAGAAAGAGUUUUCACGAUUCCUAGAAGUACGAAGUAGUGUGGCUCGCCCUAUUCAAUAGUUUUAUCUGAAACAGAAUAGAACAACAAUCUUCACAUGGACCCAAAAGUAUGACCUCUACUUGAUGCUUUCACAUAGACACAAGUUUUCUCUAUUUUCUAGUGGUUUUACUUCCAAGAGAAGAGGUUGUGAAUGUUUGCAUGUUCACUAAACCGCGUUGAACAAAGGAGAUAGGGGAACCCUCAUAAAUUCUUUCGAUGUGAUAAAAGAGAUCUAUUGUUGAUGAAGAAGAAAAGCCGUCUAACUCUCGUGUCUAAACAAAUUGUAAUGUUAUAAACACUUAGUUCGGUCUAUCACCUGUUAUAACAGAUAAGCGAUUAAGACACUUGUUAUCAUUUAGAAAAUGUCGAUGACCUUUUUGAAUAGAAAAAAAAAAUUAAUCAACUAGAUAUUGACCAAGUAUUUUGUCAGUCAGUUUAGUUCUUGAUUACAUCAACAAGAUCAACAAUAACAAGAAGCGCAACAAGAAGUGCAAAACAUCUUCAAACAUGGGUAAAGUCUAUGAGAGAAACGGGAAUUUGUAUUAGGACAGAUAUCAGAUGAGAUCUCAACCGAAAGACCUCAUUACUGCCGUAGGUAGUCAAUUGGUAUGGAGACAAAAUCGUCCCACAAACAGGUCAACGCCCAUUUUCACAAAAACGUGUUUUUAUUUUAAUCGAUUUCUAUAUAUUGAUUAUCACACGAUACACUAAAAACUGGUAUUCUACUCUGCCAGUUUUUCCUCUUUAAUAAGACUUCUUCAGGGCAGACAUUAAGAAGUCUUAUUGGCAGAGUCGAAUACAGUUUUUGGUGUAUUGUAUUUGUGUUUACGAACACGACUAUUUGGGCCUUUUAAAUGGAUUAUUACACGAAAUAUACCUAUGUUGCUUAGAUAUUAUUUCAGGUUUCUCUUGCAAAGAGUGAUGUGAUUUUGUAAAUAUCACUAUUUAAUAUGACGUCAUCGCUUUUUCAUUCGUAUUCACCGUGCUCAUUUUUUCUAUUAAGUAUAAUUUUAGGCUUAAUUUAUUUUUUAAUUCAAGCUGAGAGAUCGAUGGAUUAUUUUCUUGCAAAUAUCUCAUCGUUUCUUCCCUCUUUCUAAUAACUUGUUACCUCUCGUCGUGUUUUUGUUUUAUUAUAUAUUUAUAUUUUUCAAAAAUAUGACGCAAUCGUUUUCAAAAAUAUGGCGCCAUAGCUUUUAGUCCAGAAUUUUUUUCCUCUCAAUUCUUCUACACAACUGUUUUACUUUAUUUCCUACCAACAUAUUAGAUCAACUUUUUUUGUGUGUUAAAAUCUCCUUGUUUUCUGUAUUUUGUUAUUAUUUUAACGAUAAAGAAAAUAAUGGUUCACAAAUAGUAUUACGUAUGACAGUCUAAUAACCAACUGUGAGGCUCGGAAUUUUCUUCAUGGCGGUAACUUGCGUCACGGUUGGAAUGCAGGCCAGAAACACCCCCUCUUGACGUGGCUUUCAAACGAAACAAACAGAGCCGUCUUUCUCCUCCCUAAUUACUAUUGUCCCUCUCAGCCAAUCAGCGAUUAAUACUUUUUGAGAAUCUUUUAAAUGCCAUUCCAGUCCAAUUAACAAUUCACUUGCAGCAUAGCUGCGGUAUACUAACGCCUAACUAUUACCGACGUACGUCGAAAACGGUAAGCAGAAGUGGGAAAGAUUCAGUUAGGACUCGGUUAGAUAGUAAUAUAUUUAUCCUCUUUUUUUUCGGAGCAGAUAGAAAAGAUGGAUAAGACUACAUUAGAUUUCGUGCGAUCUCAUGUGUUCGAUGGCAAUCAAGAGAUGUCUUCAAGUUGCUCUGGUACACCCACACCGGAGAAAAACCGCACAAGUGCGACAAGUGCGGACGCGGCUUUAAGCAGCUCACACACCUCACAUACCAUCUGAGAACCCAUUCAGACGUGCGCAUGUUCACAUGCCAGUACUGCGGCAAGGGCUUCAACCAGAAGGGUAAUCUACAAGCUCAUGUGUACCGGCACACAGGCGAGAAGCCAUUCAAGUGUCAUAUCUGUGGCAAAGGCUUCACCUUGGCCUCCACGCGCAACACACACCUUCGCACGCACGCCAAAAAAAAGCCAUUUCAGUGCAAAUACUGUGAAAAAGCUUUCUAUCAGAAGAAUGCUCUGAAAUCGCAUUACAUCUCGUCUCAUCCUUAUAGCGGGGGUGUAAUGUUGCUUUGAGAAUCUCUAGAACCUUUAGUUGGAGUCAUUUAAAGAAUAAUUUGACAGAAUGCCAAUU
Molecule: long non-coding RNA, 2593 nt
Organism: Nematostella vectensis (starlet sea anemone)
Lineage: Eukaryota; Metazoa; Cnidaria; Anthozoa; Actiniaria; Edwardsiidae
Exons: 2
Source: RefSeq, a predicted model, not a curated record